RNAcentral lists this ribosomal RNA (497 nucleotides) under uncultured bacterium. RNAcentral describes it as "partial 16S ribosomal RNA". It matches the Rfam family "Bacterial small subunit ribosomal RNA", at positions 28 to 507 of the family's 1533-position model. The record is from RNAcentral.
GACGAACGCUGGCGGCGUGCCUAAUACAUGCGAGUAGAACGCUGAAGCGAGGAGCUUGCUCUUCUUGGAUGAGUUGCGAACGGGUGAGUAACGCGUAGGUAACCUGCCUUGUAGCGGGGGAUAACUAUUGGAAACGAUAGCUAAUACCGCAUAACAAUGGAUGACCCAUGUCAUUUAUUUGAAAGGGGCAAAUGCUCCACUACAAGAUGGACCUGCGUUGUAUUAGCUAGUAGGUGAGGUAACGGCUCACCUAGGCGACGAUACAUAGCCGACCUGAGAGGGUGAUCGGCCACACUGGGACUGAGACACGGCCCAGACUCCUACGGGAGGCAGCAGUAGGGAAUCUUCGGCAAUGGGGGCAACCCUGACCGAGCAACGCCGCGUGAGUGAAGAAGGUUUUCGGAUCGUAAAGCUCUGUUGUAAGUCAAGAACGAGUGUGAGAGUGGAAAGUUCACACUGUGACGGUAGCUUACCAGAAAGGGACGGCUAACUACGUG